CAGUGGUACAACUAAACGAAAUUAAUAACUAGCUUAAAUCUAAAAUAGGCCCCUGAGGCAUUGUACCAAGGAUGCUGGCGGCAUUUCCCCGCUGUAUCGCAAUACUGAUACGAACUAAAGACACCCCGUCGGGCCUCUUGCCAUCAUCUCUGAUAAUGCCAGUCGGCUCAAGAAGAGCAGGCACAUUGAUGGUGGCAAGAGACCGACGGAUUAUGUCAUUAAGCGACGCGUGUCUCGAAAAACGGCCUGCACUUUUUUGACAAGAUAAUCCGUGGUGUCCCAGUCGGUCCACGUCUGUGCCACAAGAGCAUAUGUGUGGCGUACACACCGAAACCCCGAGUCGCAAA
This is a long non-coding RNA of Cydia fagiglandana, 347 nucleotides long. RefSeq lists it as uncharacterized. NCBI's taxonomy places the organism in Eukaryota, Metazoa, Arthropoda, Insecta, Lepidoptera, Tortricidae. The record is from RefSeq and is a predicted model, not a curated record. The transcript is spliced from 2 exons.